GCCUUAAGAUUAGACAUGGCCCAGAACUUGAAGGACUUGGCGGGACGCCUGCCCGCCGGGCCCCGGGGAAUGGGCACCACGCUGAAGCUGCUGCUGGGGACUGGCGCUGUGGCCUAUGGUGUCCGCGAAUCCGUGUUCACCGUGGAAGGCGGGCACAGAGCCAUCUUCUUCAAUCGGAUCGAUGGAGUGCAGCGGGACACUAUCCUGGCCGAGGGCCUUCACUUCAGAAUCCCCUGGUUCCAGUACCCCAUUAUCUAUGACAUUCGGGCCAGACCUCGGAAAAUCUCCUCCCCCACAGGCUCCAAAGACCUGCAGAUGGUGAAUAUCUCCCUGUGAGGGCUGUCUCGACCCAAUGCUCAGGAGCUUCCUAGCAUGUACCAGCGCCUAGGGCUAGACUACAAGGAAGGAGUGUUGCCGUCGAUUGUCAAGGAGGUGCUCAAGAGUGUGGUGGCGAAGUUCAAUGCCUCACAGCUGAUCGCCCAGCACGCCCAGGUAUCCCUGUUAAUCUGCCGGGAGCUGACAGAGAGGGCCAAGGACUUCAGCCUCAUACUGGAUGAUGUAGCCAUCACAGAGGUGAGCUUUAGCUGAGAGUACACAGCUGCUGUAGAAGCCAAACAAGUGGCCCAGCAGGAGGCCCAGCGGGCCCAGUUCUUGGCAGAAGAAGCGAAGCAGGAACAGCGGCAGAAGAUCGUGCAGGCCGAGGCUGAGGCCGAGGCUGAGGCCGAGGCUGCCAAGAUGCUUCGAGAAGCUCUGAGCAAGAACCCUGGCUACAUCAAACUUCGCGAGAUCCGGGCAGCCCAGAAUAUCUCCAAGACGAUCGCCACAUCACAGAAUUGCAUCUAUCUCACUGCUGACAACCUUGUGCUGAACCUACAGGGUGAAAGUUUCACCCGAGGAAGUGACAGCCUCAUCAAGGGUAAGAAAUGAGCCUAGUCACCGAGAACUCCAUCCCCAGAAGAAGUGGAUCUGCUUCUCCUGUUUUUGAGGAGCCAGCCUGGGGUCCAGCACAGCCCUACCCCCACCCCAGAAUCAUGUGAUGGUCCCCUGCACCUGUCCCCCAAACCCCUCUUGGAUUAAGGAAGACUGAAGACCAGCCCCUUUUCUGGGGAAUUACUUUCCUCCUCCCUGUGUCGGCCGGGGAUGUUGGGACAGUGUGUGAUUUCUCAAUGAUUUCCUACAGUGUUGUUCCCUCCCUCAAGGCUGGAAGGAGAUAACCACCAACCCAGGAAUUCUCAAUAAAUUUUUAUUACUUAAGCU
This is an RNA transcript of Callithrix jacchus (white-tufted-ear marmoset), 1257 nucleotides long. It is a transcript of the gene named prohibitin-2 pseudogene, with no coding region annotated. Lineage: Eukaryota; Metazoa; Chordata; Mammalia; Primates; Cebidae. The record is from RefSeq and is a predicted model, not a curated record.